CACCGAUUCAACCGUCUCCUGCUCCGGUCAGUUACUACAAAAUGGCUGCAGAGGCUCCGCCGCCGAUGAGAACCUACUGAACGCUUCAUGCUGUGAAAAGAAGCAAAAAAAAACACGAGAAGAGAACCAUUUGAUGGAAGAUAAGAAAAAGAAAAAGCAAGACGAGAAGAAAAAGAAAGAAGCUGCUCAAAAAAAGGCCACAGAACAGAUAACCAAAGUGCCAGACUCUGCCAAGCCCGACCCCGCCCUUCCUCCUGCCCCCGUCAGCCCCAGCGCCGCCCCGUCUGUACCCCCAAGCAGUGGAAAUGGCAAGCGGGCCCCGCCGGGAGGCCAGCCUCAGACAGCCCAGCAGCCCCAGACCCCGGUCCAGCAGCGCUACCCACCCAGAGAGGUGCCUCCACGCUUCCGCCAGCAGGAGCACAAGCAGCUGCUGAAGAGGGGUCAGCCGCUGCCUGCCGGGACGCUGCCGCUCAUCACCACGGGACGCGCCGCCACUAGUGAACCUGCAGCAACAGUAGCCAUACACUCCUCUCCCUCCUCUUCCUCCACAGCCAGCCUGCCCACAGGUCAGCCUGGACACUCUCUUAGCAAACUCAAACUAAACUUCAGAGAAAAUGCAUUUAGUGAUUAUGGGAAGUGAAGGUUGCUGUAUUUUACUGACAACAUAAUGGGUAUAUUUACACUACAGUUCAAGAAUUCGAGGUCUCUUAGAAAUAUAAUUAUUUUUGAAAAGCUGUUUUUUUCAAUGAAGAUACCAUUAAAUGAAUGAUAAAUCCAGAGCAGACAUUGUUAAUGUGGU
This is a long non-coding RNA of Amphiprion ocellaris (clown anemonefish), 799 nucleotides long. The record is from Ensembl. NCBI's taxonomy places the organism in Eukaryota, Metazoa, Chordata, Actinopteri, Pomacentridae.